AGGAGAUGUUGCAGCAAAGCUCUUUUAGUAUAGAAGGUGUUUGGGAAAAAGCCAAGCCUAAAGUAGUAGUAGAAGUAGAAGAACUGUUAAUCCGUCUAUUGAAGUACCAAUUCCUCCACUUUAUCCAGAACACUACAUACAAAUAUUUCUCUCAUGCUUCCCUUUUGUCUUCAUUGAAUAUCAGGCACGAAUACUACCUAGAGACUCAUUGAAAGUUACUAGAGGGAUAUUAUUGAGGAAAGUUCCAGUAUGGGAAAACAGAGGUUUUUGGAAUUGGAGUUGGAGAAUAAAUGUGCAGCCGUAAUUUACACUCUUUGCUUGAAAGAUUAGGGACACAUAUAAUGGGAGUGCUCAGAAGCGCCUGAAGUCUAGAGACCAACCACAAUGUUUCCAUAGGUAUGGUGUUAUUUUGUCUUUAAAACAAAAUGAGCAUGUCAUGGAGGUGGAGGUCAUGUUGAAUAUAAGCCUAGCUGUUAUGGUACAAUCAGAACCAUAGGUGGGUGAGCGAAGCUCUUUGAAGACAGCAGUGAAUUUGAUGCAAACAACCUUUAAGAGUGGCUAUUAAAGAGUGUAGAUGGAGACCUCCUGUAGGUAUGUAUUAUAAGGUAAAUUUGGCUAUCAAGUAAUUGCAGAACAAUACCUAUCAAAAAAAGGAAAUUGCAGAACAAAAUAUGGUAUGGUUUGGGAGUAGUUCAUGAUAGUGGAAGCCAAUGUAUAAGAGCUAUGUGUGCAAAAAAAAGAACCAGGGAAUCACCAAAUGCACAUACUUUGCAUUCAAACUUCUUACCGUAGACAGAUUGGGAAACGAUGGGUACAGUGAAGUCAACAUCCUCCGCAUUAACCUCAUUUCAGCAUCAUAAUGCGCACAUUUCUCCUUCAUUUCAGCAUCAUAACGCGCACAUUUCUCCUUCAUUUCUUCUACUUCAGCAGACAACUCGAUAACCUUUUGUUCAGUUGCAGUAGAUGUUGGAGGUGGCGUACUAUCAUCCAUUGACCUCGCACGAUUUCCAGAGGGGGUUGGACCAAAGCCUACCCCUCUAACACGACCACUUCUCUCUGCACCGAGGACCUGUGCAAAUGCAUCGUCGGGUUGCCAAAGUAUGCCUGCCUCAAUGUCAUUUCCCCGCAACUGUGACCCCUCUGUCAUAAGAUGUUUCAUCUUUGCCUAGUAAUCACAAAUAAACAAAAUAACAUAUUAGCAACAAG
Quercus lobata is the source of this 1206-nucleotide long non-coding RNA. RefSeq lists it as uncharacterized. Lineage: Eukaryota; Viridiplantae; Streptophyta; Magnoliopsida; Fagales; Fagaceae. The transcript has 3 exons. The record is from RefSeq and is a predicted model, not a curated record.